Molecule: ribosomal RNA, 648 nt
Filed under: uncultured bacterium
Lineage: Bacteria
Description: bacterial SSU rRNA
Rfam family: Bacterial small subunit ribosomal RNA
Source: RNAcentral
GGCGGACGGGUGAGGAACGCGUGAGAAUCUGGCUUCAGGUUCGGGACAACCAUUGGAAACGGUGGCUAAGACCGGAUGUGCCUAAGGGUGAAAGAUUAAUCGCCUGAAGAUGAGCUCGCGUCUGAUUAGCUAGUUGGUGGGGUAAGAGCCUACCAAGGCGACGAUCAGUAACUGGUCUGGGAGGAUGAUCAGUCACACUGGGACUGAGACACGGCCCAGACUCCUACGGGAGGCAGCAGUGGGGAAUUUUCCGCAAUGGGCGAAAGCCUGACGGAGCAAUACCGCGUGGGGGAGGAAGGUUCUUGGAUUGUAAACCCCUUUUCUCAAGGAAGAUAAUGACGGUACUUGAGGAAUCAGCAUCGGCUAACUCCGUGCCAGCAGCCGCGGUAAUACGGAGGAUGCAAGCGUUAUCCGGAAUGAUUGGGCGUAAAGCGUCCGCAGGUGGCACUUCAAGUCUGCUGUUAAAGACUGGGGCUCAACCCUGGAAAGGCGGUGGAAACUGAGGAGCUAGAGUGUGGUAGGGGUAGAGGGAAUUCCCAGUGUGGCGGUGAAAUGCGUAGAGAUUGGGAAGAACACCGGUGGCGAAAGCGCUCUGCUAGACCAUAACUGACACUCAGGGACGAAAGCUAGGGGAGCGAAUGGGAUUAG